This is a small nucleolar RNA of Macaca fascicularis (crab-eating macaque), 104 nucleotides long. The record is from Ensembl. Lineage: Eukaryota; Metazoa; Chordata; Mammalia; Primates; Cercopithecidae.
AUUCUUCUGUAGUUCACGAGCAUGACGAUUGGGUUUUCAUGACAUGUGUGAGAUGUUCCACCCCCUGAACCUUGUGCCCACAUUGGCACAUUACCCAUCUAACC